AUCCUGGCUCAGGACGAACGCUGGCGGCGUGCCUAAUACAUGCAAGUCGAGCGGAUCAAAGGGAGCUUGCUCCCUGAGAUUAGCGGCGGACGGGUGAGUAACACGUGGGCAACCUACCUAUAAGAUUGGGAUAACUCCGGGAAACCGGGGCUAAUACCGGGUAAUCCGUUUCUCCUCAUGGAGGAACGGUAAAAGAUGGCUUCGGCUAUCACUUAUAGAUGGGCCCGCGGCGCAUUAGCUAGUUGGUAAGGUAAUGGCUUACCAAGGCGACGAUGCGUAGCCGACCUGAGAGGGUGAUCGGCCACACUGGGACUGAGACACGGCCCAGACUCCUACGGGAGGCAGCAGUAGGGAAUCUUCCGCAAUGGACGAAAGUCUGACGGAGCAACGCCGCGUGAGUGAUGAAGGUUUUCGGAUCGUAAAGCUCUGUUGUUAGGGAAGAACAAGUGCCGUUUGAAUAAGGCGGCACCUUGACGGUACCUAACCAGAAGACCGA
This 496-nucleotide ribosomal RNA is filed under the name Bacillus sp. M13-C6. RNAcentral describes it as "bacterial SSU rRNA". It matches the Rfam family "Bacterial small subunit ribosomal RNA", at positions 16 to 494 of the family's 1533-position model. Lineage: Bacteria; Bacillati; Bacillota; Bacilli; Caryophanales; Bacillaceae. The record is from RNAcentral.